UAAAUAUCAUAUUAUGAAAAAUGAAAAUAGCUUGAAAGCUGUUCGCAAUCAGUUUAAUGGAGAAACGCGACCCUAACCACACUGUUAACUGCUAUAUCAUAGACUAUAUCAUAGAUGGCUAUUUACAUACAUAAUGGUAUUAUUAUUCUACAAUAUCGUUUAUUAUAAUCCAUAUGGUCUAAUAAUCAUAGUUUAGCGUCGCGUUUAUUUCCUGUUUGGACCGGGUGGAAACUGCAGCUGAGAAGACACCUGUGAUUUGGACCUGUUUAAAGCAACUAUUACUGGAAAGCAGACACUCUGAGAGCCCAAGCCACUGGAUGAGGCGUAGUUUUCACUUCAGAACAAAGACAGAUUCAUCAAUGAUUUUAAAGGGAGAGGAGUGUUCAGUUGCUCUGAGUUUCAUAAGGGA
Pimephales promelas (fathead minnow) is the source of this 409-nucleotide non-coding RNA. NCBI's taxonomy places the organism in Eukaryota, Metazoa, Chordata, Actinopteri, Cypriniformes, Leuciscidae. The record is from RefSeq and is a predicted model, not a curated record.